This 749-nucleotide unclassified non-coding RNA is filed under the name Hevea brasiliensis (rubber tree). The record is from RNAcentral. Lineage: Eukaryota; Viridiplantae; Streptophyta; Magnoliopsida; Malpighiales; Euphorbiaceae.
UUCAAAACCCCUCUCCUCCACGCCAGAGAUUUGGCCAGCAAACAACCAGCCUUCGACCCUCAACCCAAAGCUGCGAACAACCACCCGAAACCACCCUUGCUCCAACCACCAGAUCCAGGUCGGAGCGCCACGACCAAGACCCAUCAGAAAGCCACGAAAACCCAUCAAUAAACCAGAUCCAAAACCCCUUUCUUUUCCCGUUUUCCAGCAGCAGAUCCGGCGAGGAGCUUAAAGCUCGAUGAACCGGAGCUAAACAACACAGACAGCCUUUCCCCUUUCCCUUUUUCAAAUUUUUUGUUUGCAUUCACAUGUGUUUUCACCUUUAACUCCAGCAAGCUAAGUUCCAGCGAACAAGAGCAGUACCACCAGAUCUCCACCGCGAUGAUCUUCAGGCUCGAUGAAUCGGUGAACAACAAACCACAACCAGCUCCAUCUAACUGCUGCGAUGCUACUUUCAGUGACCGACGAAUCCCAACACACUGCAAACACCGGUGAACAACAGCCAUACUACAACAACUUUACAAUGCCCUACAACGGUGAAUCAGGUUCUUGGAUGUGACUACAGACGACUUGUACAAUUAUGAGGGAUUGCGACAAAGAAGAAAAAAUGCAAAAAUAAAGAAGGAAAAAAAAUAUGGAAAUUAAAGAAAUAAAGAAGGAAAGAAAUAAAGAAGUUAAAUUCAAGUCAAAUAAGGAAAGAAAAAAAAGGUUACAAUUCAAGUCAAAUAAGGAAAGAAAAAAAAGGUUAC